UGGGGAAUAUUGCACAAUGGGCGCAAGCCUGAUGCAGCCAUGCCGCGUGUGUGAAGAAGGCCUUCGGGUUGUAAAGCACUUUCAGCGAGGAGGAAGGUGGUGGACUUAAUACGUUCAUCAAUUGACGUUACUCGCAGAAGAAGCACCGGCUAACUCCGUGCCAGCAGCCGCGGUAAUACGGAGGGUGCAAGCGUUAAUCGGAAUUACUGGGCGUAAAGCGCACGCAGGCGGUUUGUUAAGUCAGAUGUGAAAUCCCCGGGCUCAGCCUGGGAACUGCAUUUGAAACUGGCAAGCUAGAGUCUCGUAGAGGGGGGUAGAAUUCCAGGUGUAGCGGUGAAAUGCGUAGAGAUCUGGAGGAAUACCGGUGGCGAAGGCGGCCCCCUGGACGAAGACUGACGCUCAGGUGCGAAAGCGUGGGGAGCAAAACAGGAUUAGAGUACCCUGGUAGUCCACGCUGUAAACGAUGUCGAUUUGGAGGUUGUGCCCUUGAGGCGUGGC
This 498-nucleotide ribosomal RNA is filed under the name uncultured bacterium. RNAcentral describes it as "partial 16S ribosomal RNA". It matches the Rfam family "Bacterial small subunit ribosomal RNA", at positions 355 to 843 of the family's 1533-position model. The record is from RNAcentral.